RNAcentral lists this long non-coding RNA (1907 nucleotides) under Arachis ipaensis. Its description in RNAcentral is "long non-coding RNA (AIPA_LNC001479)". Lineage: Eukaryota; Viridiplantae; Streptophyta; Magnoliopsida; Fabales; Fabaceae. The record is from RNAcentral.
GCUGCCUCCAGAACCACGCGGACAGAGGGAGGAGAGAGAGAGAGUUCGCGUCGGAGGAGAGAAGGAGCUCGUGCCUCACCGCGGUCACCCAUGGAGCCACGAGCUGCGCCGAUCGCCGCCGCGUCGCGUCGGAGAGGAAGCCCGAGACUGAGCGCCGCUGGGAGAGAGGAAGACGCGGGCUGGAGGAGCUGCAUCCAGUCGCCGCUGACGCGCCACUGACCACCGCCGUUUCGCCGUCGCCGAUGUCGCCGCUACAUCGCCGGACAUCAUCGCUGGAGGACCGAAUGGAGAAGCUCACCAGUUCUGCUUCUGCUUCUAGUUUCUGGAAUCUGAGAAGAAGCCACUGCCACCGCUGGAACUGUUGGUUUUGUUGCUCUGCCCUUGCUCUAGAUCCAUUCUGAUCCGUUACCAUCGCCGUUUGGCUGACACUGAAGCUUCCCACUGCCAAUGGAGCUGCCCGGAAACCCUGCUGUUGCUGCUCCGAUAAUUUAUUGUAAGCUAUCUGUAGUUUCAAUUUUAUUGAACUCAUUUCCAUUUCUGACUCCAUUGAAUUUGAACUCUAUUUUGUUGCCACCGUGGUUACUACUGCGAGAGUGAAGAAUGAAUCGGAAAUAAUGCUGCUGCCGUUGAUCGGAGAUGCCAAACUGUUGCUGCUACUACUUUGAGAUGAUAUGGCUGCUAUUAAGGUUGUUGUUCAUGAGUGCAGCAUUCCCAAUUUCUAUGGAUUUCGACACUUUGAGGUAGGGGAUUUAACGUUUUUAAUUUAGAAUGCUUACAAAGUUAUUUGGAUAAGUGCAAAUGGUUAACAAUGGUUAAGAAUCUCUUAGUUGACAUGAAUGACUUGAAAUAGGUUUGAAGUUAGUUAAUUGUUGUGAUGAUUUUGAGCUGUGAUUGAAUUUAGAUGCUGCUGUGUUUAAUGAUUAAUUUAGUAUAAUUUAUUAAAUUGAAAUAUGCCAAGUUAAUUAUUGAAAAGCUGUGGUAUGGAUAACUGAUGAAUUGAGUUUUGAUUAUUGCUGUGAAUGUAAUUAGUUUUGUUGUUAUGAGAGACUAAUUGAUAGAAAUAAGCUUGGUUUGAGGUUGUGAAAUUUGUAGUAAGUUUGAUGAUGUUUUAUUAGUGCUUCAAUUGGAUUAUUGAAUUCAGGUUAAGGCUGCGAAUGUCUUUGGGCUUUGUUGUGAGUGUUUGAAGUUGUAAUUGAUAUUGUUUUCUCUGAUAUGGAUGGAAUUGAGUUGAAUUAUAACUGUAGUUGGUGAUUGAUUUGAUGAUUGUGCUUACUGAAUGUGUAAGGAAUAGAAUAAAUGGUGUUACUUUUGUUGCUGAGCUUGCUGGUGUGAAUUGAUGAGUUAUUGUGUGUUUGAAUGAUGAUGAGUGUACAUGGAAAAUUAUGCUUGGCAUAGUGUAGAAAAGAAAAGGUUUGAUGAUGCUUAAGUACUUGACAUCGUGUGAAUUAUUGAUUCUGGGUUCUUGGGCUGUGUUGGCAAUGAAGACAAUUUUGAAUAACUGGAAAGAGGUUAAACGUGUGAUUUUGGAAGGGUUAUAAGUUCAAAUGUGGUUUUUGAUAAGUAAGGUUGUUGAAAAUGCUUAAGGCAGAAUUUCUGCAUACAUGACAGUAGAAAGAAUCAAUUUCUGGGAGCAUCCCAGGUCAUAUACUUGAAUGAAACUAUUUUUGCAUGAAACUUUACUGUGUUUUGAGCAUCUCAUAAAAAAUUCAGAAUUUAUUGAUGAGUAUUUUGAGAGAAAUGAACUUUUUGAAGAUUGAUGGUUUCUGCAGAAAAUUCUGUUUCUUUACUGCAGAAGCACCAACUUCCAACUCACUUAACUUUCAAUUCUGGUAAGUAUUUGAGCUGAAACUAACGGCAUUUUCAAGCUUCCUGUGUCCACAAUCUUCAUUUUAAAUUUCAUGUCAAUA